UGACUAACUGGGCCAGGAGAAGCUGUC
This 27-nucleotide non-coding RNA is filed under the name Rattus norvegicus (Norway rat). The record is from RNAcentral. Lineage: Eukaryota; Metazoa; Chordata; Mammalia; Rodentia; Muridae.